RNAcentral lists this ribosomal RNA (397 nucleotides) under uncultured bacterium. Its description in RNAcentral is "partial 16S ribosomal RNA". It matches the Rfam family "Bacterial small subunit ribosomal RNA", at positions 523 to 918 of the family's 1533-position model. The record is from RNAcentral.
AUACGUAGGUGGCAAGCGUUGUCCGGAAUUAUUGGGCGUAAAGCGCGCGCAGGUGGUUCCUUAAGUCUGAUGUGAAAGCCCCCGGCUCAACCGGGGAGGGUCAUUGGAAACUGGGGAACUUGAGUGCAGAAGAGGAUAGUGGAAUUCCAAGUGUAGCGGUGAAAUGCGUAGAGAUUUGGAGGAACACCAGUGGCGAAGGCGACUGUCUGGUCUGUAACUGACACGGAGGCGCGAAAGCGUGGGGAGCAAACAGGAUUAGAUACCCUGGUAGUCCACGCCGUAAACGAUGAGUGCUAAGUGUUGGGGGGUUUCCGCCCCUCAGUGCUGCAGCUAACGCAUUAAGCACUCCGCCUGGGGAGUGCGGUCGCAAGACUGAAACUCAAAUGAAUUGACGGGG